AGUGCUGCAUUUGACUGUCUACUGUCCAAGUUAGGAGUUCGCAACUUGCACUCUCCUACUUGAGGGGGAGUGUUGGAUAUGGAUUGGUACGGUUAAGGCCGGUAUGUUGGUAUGUCGGUUGUGAUAACGUUUGUAGUAGAUAAGUACGUAUCAUUGUGUGAUAAGGACUAGAAGAUAUGAUACUCUCUAGAAGAUCUCCUAAGAGUUGUAUAUAAGUCUUGUACUACGUAUGUGAAUACACACGAUUCCAGCAAUACUCUCUCUAAGUUUACCAACGUCAGCGAAAGCACCAGUCCUACCUUCAACAGCAAUACCGCAGCGUCCACAGCCCUUGAUCUGACAUAUGGCGUCAGACUCACCAAUCACCAUAUAACCCAAUUCUCUGAACCUGAAUAAAACAAGAGUGCAAGAGUCUCCGCAUGGCGCAGCGUACAAACCGUUGAACGGUCGAUCAAGGAGCCUUUAGGGUUCUAGAGACCUGUUCUUGGAUCGAUCAAAGAGUUUCUUGCGAUAGCUUCUUUGAGACCAACUUCUUGAUAAAUGAAUUUAAUUAAAUCUCACAAGGAAUAAGCAAAAGCUCUAUUAUUAAUUAUCAAAGUCCGAUUCA
Molecule: long non-coding RNA, 607 nt
Filed under: Brassica napus (rape)
Lineage: Eukaryota; Viridiplantae; Streptophyta; Magnoliopsida; Brassicales; Brassicaceae
Description: long non-coding RNA (BNAP_LNC018200)
Source: RNAcentral